This 417-nucleotide ribosomal RNA is filed under the name uncultured bacterium. RNAcentral describes it as "bacterial SSU rRNA". It matches the Rfam family "Bacterial small subunit ribosomal RNA", at positions 358 to 772 of the family's 1533-position model. The record is from RNAcentral.
GGAAUAUUGGUCAAUGGACGCAAGUCUGAACCAGCCGUGCCGCGUGAAGGAUGAAGGCGUUCUGCGUUGUAAACUUCUUUUAUUGGGGAAGAAACCUGGUUAUUCUUAGCCAGCCGACGGUACCCAAGGAAUAAGCACCGGCUAACUCCGUGCCAGCAGCCGCGGUAAUACGGAGGGUGCAAGCGUUAUCCGGAUUUACUGGGUUUAAAGGGUGUGUAGGCGGACUUUUAAGUCAGCGGUGAAAUCUCCGGGCUCAACCCGGAAACUGCCAUUGAUACUAUUGGUUUUGAAUGUUGUUGAGGUGGGCGGAACGGGUCAUGUAGCGGUGAAAUGCAUAGAUAUGACCCGGAACACCGAUUGCGUAGGCAGCCCACUAAGCAACGAUUGACGCUGAGGCACGAAAGCGUGGGGAUCAAA